UACGGGAGGCAGCAGUGGGGAAUAUUGCACAAUGGACGAAAGUCUGAUGCAGCAAUGCCGCGUGUGUGAAGAAGGCCUUCGGGUUGUAAAGCACUUUCAGAUGUGAGGAAAAGCAGU
RNAcentral lists this ribosomal RNA (117 nucleotides) under uncultured bacterium. RNAcentral's name for it is "partial 16S ribosomal RNA". It matches the Rfam family "Bacterial small subunit ribosomal RNA", at positions 340 to 456 of the family's 1533-position model. The record is from RNAcentral.